AGAGUUUGAUCAUGGCUCAGGAUAAAACGCUAGCGGCAGGCCUAACACAUGCAAGUCGAGGGGCAGCGGAAGAAGUAGCUUGCUACUUCUGCCGGCGACCGGCGCACGGGUGCGUAACGCGUAUGCAACCUACCUUUAACAGGGGGGAUAAUCCGAAGAAAUUUGGUCUAAUACCCCAUAAUAUUUCAGAAGGCAUCUUUUGAGGUUGAAAACUCCGGUGGUUAAAGAUGGGCAUGCGUUGUAUUAGCUAGAUGGUGAA
This 259-nucleotide ribosomal RNA is filed under the name uncultured bacterium. RNAcentral describes it as "partial 16S ribosomal RNA". It matches the Rfam family "Bacterial small subunit ribosomal RNA", at positions 8 to 256 of the family's 1533-position model. The record is from RNAcentral.